Molecule: non-coding RNA, 92 nt
Organism: Tribolium castaneum (red flour beetle)
Lineage: Eukaryota; Metazoa; Arthropoda; Insecta; Coleoptera; Tenebrionidae
Source: RefSeq, marked provisional
UUCUCUUUGUUGAAAGUUUACAAUUUAGCGCUCUAUUCUAGUUAAAUUUUACACUAGCAUGAGCGUUUGUUGUAGAUUUUUGGCAAAAAUUU